GUGUAUAGAGUAGCGGAAACAUCUUAGGUGAAGCUUCUAAGGUAGAAGAGGUGGAUAAAUCAUGUCGCGCCCACCGACAUGACCUCCAUUAGCAGACUAAGUCAGCACCUGCAACAGGGGUUAUAAAACCCUGAGUACAAAAGUACUCAACAAGACUUAACCGACUAGAAAAGAGAUGAAGACUCAGGUAUGCAGGCUAUAGGGAUUCAAGGUAAAGCUUUAUCAAGAUAAAGCAUUUCUUUUGCAUAAAAGCUUACUAAGAGUAAAACCUGCUUUCAAGUUUUAACUCAAGAUCAUUAUUUAUGACUAACCAAAACUAUUAUCAAACUUUCAUAAGCAUACCACCUCUUUCUCUUACCAAAGAUCAUUUAUUACUACGAUGAUGGGGUGAGGAUUGAGGCUCCAUAUCCGAGGAAACACGGCGAUUCGAAUCGAUUAAACCCAGCUGGGGAUUCAGUACCACACGACAUAUGUAGAACUCAAUCUUGCAUAUGUCAACCUGUUUCUAUAGAUCCUCCCAUACAAGAACGGGUCCAGCGUCACCCGAGAGUACAGUACACCACCAUCCUACAGCCAAUCUAGAUGUUUCCCGGUCAUCUCAGAUCCGUAAGGUGGUUACACGCUACUCUCGCCAUCUCUCCACUCCCAGUACGCGGUUAGCCGUUCUCAAGUAUCGGAAUAGCUAUAGGUAAGGCUUACCAGUGCAUGUGGGCUGUACUCAAAGGUCUCAAUCACAACAGGCCAACAACGGAACGGUCCUUAAUCGACACAGUGGAAGACACUACUUUAAGACUCCAUUCUUAAAGCAAGUCCACCGACCGGUCUCAAGUUGAACAGUAUUGACCUUAAAAGUAUUCCACAACAACCCUUCAAACUUUCUCAUUUGGAAACUUAUCUAAUAAGCAGGACUAAGCAUACUAAGUAUUUUCAUAAAACAGGUAUCAAGGUUAAUAUGGAAAUCAUCAAGGUAGAUAAUGCAGCAAAUAGGAUUCACUCAACUCCUAUUCACCUAAUGCAUCAGAUUAACUCAAGUGAUAUAAAUAACUUUAUGAAAAUACAAGGAUAGGGUUUAAUGUCCGGGGCUUGCCUUGGCCGGAAGGGAAGUCCGACAACUCAGCAAAACCAGAUGGAUCCACAAACUCGGAAGCAACCCACUGAGGAUUAGAUUCCUCCGGAGCGUAGUCUACACGUAGAGUUGCAUAUGCAUGAUCAAUGAGAUGUUCAUGACAUGAUAAAGACAGGUUACAAGUUCUUGGAUGAUAACAACAAUCAUAACUACCUCGAGUACAACUUACCUUCACGGUAUAGAAACAAACUAACUUAGCUAUCAAAACAUAAAUUACUACUAAGCAAAUUUUAUCAUCUUCAUUAAGCAAGGUUGUGAAGCUAUCAUACAACAAAGAUCAUUUAUAUGAAAUAAACCAUAGCAUAUCAUGCCAAGUAACCACUGGUUGUCAAUCAAUCCCAAAGAUCAAUCAAAACCUAAAAUGAUUAGGUUUUCUAUUUAUCUUAAUCAAUUCUUAAUUAAAUAUUAAUGGCAGUAAUUAAGUAUUAACAUCAAACAAUAAUUAAAUGCCAAAGGUCAUUAAGGUUAAUGACCUCAGGUCAUCACACAAUCCCAAAAGCACUCAAAUUCUAAUUUGGAAAUUAAGUUACUCAUUAUUUAAGUAAAGGCUAGCUAAAAGCAAACAAAUCUAUUUGCACACAAAACCAGGACAGCAGCAUAUACACAACUUCAUUCAACCAUAAUUAGGGAUCCAAACAUCCAACAAAGGUGAUAUUAGACUUUCUGGAAAUCUUAGAUAAUUUUCUACAACUUUGUUAUUAUCUUCGAGAACUGAUUUAAUAGAUAAAAUGGCCAAACAGUAUGAAUAAACAAUUUUGUCCAGACCUUGGACAGAAUCAGACAUUAAGCUUCAUACAUCUAUAACCAGAGUUCUAGAUCACCAAAAUUCAUGAUCCAUAACAUUUUGGAAAGCUUAUGAAAAUUACUACAAUUCAUCUUUUAUCAUGAAAGCAUGAUUCAUAAGUUUAGUAGGUUGAAAUUGCACAACUACAGAAACUGAUCCAGAAUUUGACAGAGAGGAACCAUUUCUGAAACUUAAAUUUAAACAGGCAUAACUCAGAAACUAUAGGGCCAAAUGCCACCAAAAUUUAACACCAGCUAGAUACAUGAAUUCUAUACAACUUUGUUAUAGACAAGUUUCAUAUCCAACAUUAUUUACCUAGAGCAAUUCAUAAGGUUCCAGAAACUGUCCAGAAAUCACUAAUAAUUUAAUUAUAGACAAAUAACAUUUCAUUAAUGUUUCAAACUUGGACCUGGGCAAAACCCAGCUCACAAAUAGUUGAAAUACAUUAAAGAGAUACUAGAAAACAUCAUGGUCAUCCCUAAAUAAAUUCCUUUCAUGUUUUUAUUAAUUUAUUUAGGUAAAUAGACAAAGCAAUAACCAUAUAUCAAAAGUACACAGUAAAUUCUGAGAAAACUACAGCAGCUCAUAUAUGCUCUCCAAAGUCUACUGUAUAAGUUUCAUGCCAUUUGGAUAAGUAUAGCAAUUUCUAUGAAAAAGAUAAAUUUCCAUCACAAGGAAGCAUGUAACAACAAGAUAAAUAAGAAACUUGACAUUUUCUACAAACACAUAGCUAAAUUAUGUACCUAUAUGAUAUAACAACCUCAUAUAAAGGUACAGGAACCAUAUUUUACAUUUAUUUAUUUUUAGUCUAAUUUUAAACUAUUUAAUAAGCACUAAACAAGAUAAAUUAAUAACUUAACCAUAUAUCAUCUACUGAACAUGAAAUCUUUACUGUAACACUCACAUAGCAUCAUAAGAACACCAAUAAAAUUUCAGGCCCAUAGGAGCUACACAGAAUUAGAUAUGAAUUUCUCCUUUUUAAACAUAAUUAAAAGGCAUAAAUCAUAACUAAUUAUUUUACUACAAAACAUGGUCAGUUUCAUAUUUUUAAUAAAAACUAGACAUCUCAAGGAGCACAACAAAAUUUGGUUCACCAAAAUUGGAGUUACCAAACUCCAGAUAUGAAUUUUCAAAGAUUCAACAAAACAUCUACAAACAAGUCCUUAUAGCACUAUUCACCUGAGUCACAGCCUGUGCAAUUAGACCCCUGGAGAACUUCCAAUUGUUGCGCGUGGUCCCUGGUCACGAUUCCAGAGCAGAGGAUGUCGGAGAAAACCUGAUUUCCGGCCCGUGGACGCUUGUUGGCAGCGAGGGAAAGCAUUGGGGAGCAUCCUGAGGCUCGCGCGCUCGCGCUGGUGUCAGCGGCUUGGCCGGAGAAGGUCUGUGGCCUCCUGGCCACGUGUGCAGGCGGCCAUGGCGGAGCUCUGUGAGCGGAAACUGGCUCACGGUUGAUCCCGACGAGGGGAGAGAGCACUAGCUGGCCUACCCGAUGCGCAAGGAUGCUGCGGAGCUGAAGAAGAGAUCAACUAGGCUUAGGUGUGAGGAGCGAGAUAAAUUCCGUCGGUGACCCAAGGUCACGGCGGCGGACAGAAAGAGGAGGAGCGAGGGUAAAGCUCUGGCUCCCUUUGGAUGAGGAUGCCUUCGACUCGUCCAUCUCAUGGUGACAGCAACCACGCAAGCAGCUGCGUGCCAGCCAUGCCCAUGGCAACGUGGGGAAGCAGGGGUGCCGGACAGAGUCGCGGUGCUCUGUUCCCAA
Molecule: long non-coding RNA, 3666 nt
Filed under: Sorghum bicolor (sorghum)
Lineage: Eukaryota; Viridiplantae; Streptophyta; Magnoliopsida; Poales; Poaceae
Description: long non-coding RNA (SBIC_LNC001719)
Source: RNAcentral